UCUAUGCUAGCGCCUAAUGGAAUACCCUAAAAACUAAGCCAAGCUGAGUCUAGCUGAGCUGAUGUCAGUAGACAGACGGGAAACACAGCAGAGAGAGGGGAUGAUCUGCAGCAAAAGGCCCAAACUGGAAUCAAACCUUGGCCAGCGUGACAUGUGGUGCAUGUAGUACCAGGAGGAUGUUGGUCCUGUCAGUCCUAUCUUCUGACCUGCCAGUGGUUCAGAUGGACUUAAUCAACUACUUUGCUGUCCUACCAAUCUACCUGUCUGAUCAGAAACCAGUCUUGUCAAGGAUAAAUAGAGAGAGGAUCCUGCAAUUCCACAGCAAACACCUGAUGACUAACCGGGGUACUCAAGCAGAACUGGUGACACUACAAUUACAUACUUUUCCCAAAGAAUGUCUAAAUGCAAAAACUAUUUAUAUUUCAACAAUGUCUUUGUUUGU
Archocentrus centrarchus (flier cichlid) is the source of this 442-nucleotide long non-coding RNA. RefSeq lists it as uncharacterized. Lineage: Eukaryota; Metazoa; Chordata; Actinopteri; Cichliformes; Cichlidae. The transcript has 4 exons. The record is from RefSeq and is a predicted model, not a curated record.